This 160-nucleotide ribosomal RNA is filed under the name Viscum cruciatum. RNAcentral's name for it is "5.8S ribosomal RNA". It matches the Rfam family "5.8S ribosomal RNA". From Rfam's summary of the family: 5.8S ribosomal RNA (5.8S rRNA) is a component of the large subunit of the eukaryotic ribosome. It is transcribed by RNA polymerase I as part of the 45S precursor that also contains 18S and 28S rRNA. Functionally, it is thought that 5.8S rRNA may be involved in ribosome translocation. Lineage: Eukaryota; Viridiplantae; Streptophyta; Magnoliopsida; Santalales; Viscaceae. The record is from RNAcentral.
ACGACUCUCGGCAAUGGAUAUCUCGGCUCCCGUGUCGAUGAAGAACGCAGCGAAAUGCGAUACAUGGUGUGAAUUGCAGAAUCUCGUGAAUCAUUGAGUUUUUGAACGCAAGUUGCGCCCGAGGCCGUUUUUCGGUCGAGGGCACGCCUGCCUGGGCGUC